Molecule: small RNA, 665 nt
Filed under: Lactarius miniatescens
Lineage: Eukaryota; Fungi; Basidiomycota; Agaricomycetes; Russulales; Russulaceae
Description: eukaryotic LSU rRNA
Rfam family: 5.8S ribosomal RNA (bases 229-382)
Source: RNAcentral
UUAGGAGAAUAUCGUACAAAUACGUGGGAGGCGCUCGAAGGCUGUCGCUGACUCGAAAGGGUCGUGCACGCCAGAGGGUGUCCUCUCACGUGAAAUCCAUCUCACCCUUUUGUGCACCACCGCGUGGGCUCCCUUCCCUCCUCGAAGGGGGCUCACGUUUUCACACAAACACCCUUUGUAAACGUGUAUAGAAUGACCCCAAUUUUUGCGUUGACACGCGAUCAAUACAACUUUCAACAACGGAUCUCUUGGCUCUCGCAUCGAUGAAGAACGCAGCGAAAUGCGAUACGUAAUGUGAAUUGCAGAAUUCAGUGAAUCAUCGAAUCUUUGAACGCACCUUGCGCCCCUUGGUAUUCCGAGGGGCACACCCGUUUGAGUGUCGUGAAAUCCUCAACCUCCUCGGUUUCUUCUGGAUGCCAAAGGAGGCUUGGACUUUGGAGGGCUUUGCUGGACCGAAAGGGCCAGCUCCUCUCAAAUGAAUUAGCGAGGUCCCCUUUGCCGAUCCUCGACGUGUGAUAAGAUGCUUCCACGCCUUGGUCUUUGGCUCUGUCGCCUCUUGGGACCUGCUUCGAAUCGUCUCUCGACGAGACAACGUUCGAGCACGUCUCGACCACGUACCCUUGACCUCAAAUCGGGUGAGACUACCCGCUGAACUUAAGCAUAUC